AUAAUUCCAAGCACAGCUGCCUUGCAUGAAUCACACUCGUAGCAUCACAAGUAGUUCUAAGGUGCUGAUAUAAGAAUUCACCUCUGCCUCUAGCUGAAAUAGGUUCUCAUGGCAAAAAGAGCAAAGCAAAUGAAAGCAAGUGUAAAACUCACAAGUAAAAUGGUGCACUUGUGAGUGCGGUUAUAAUUUUCAAUACUUGUAAAUGACAAUAGAUUUAUUUUCAUAUUAGUGUUUGACUUUUUG
Molecule: long non-coding RNA, 243 nt
Organism: Rosa chinensis
Lineage: Eukaryota; Viridiplantae; Streptophyta; Magnoliopsida; Rosales; Rosaceae
Exons: 3
Source: RefSeq, a predicted model, not a curated record